CUACGGGUCGCUCCAGUGGGGAAUAUUGCACAAUGGGGGAAACCCUGAUGCAGCAACGCCGCGUGGAGGAUGACGCAUUUCGGUGUGUAAACUCCUUUUAUAUAGGAAGAUAAUGACGGUACUAUAUGAAUAAGCACCGGCUAACUCCGUGCCAGCAGCCGCGGUAAUACGGAGGGUGCAAGCGUUACUCGGAAUCACUGGGCGUAAAGCGCGCGCAGGCGGUCUGAUAAGUUGGAUGUGAAAGCCUACGGCUCAACCGUAGAACUGCAUCCAAAACUGUCAGACUAGAGUCUGGGAGGGGAAGAUGGAAUUAGUUGUGUAGGGGUAAAAUCCGUAGAGAUAACUAGGAAUACCAAAAGCGAAGGCGAUCUUCUGGAACAGUACUGACGCUGAGGCGCGAAAGCGUGGGGAGCAAACAGGAUUAGAUACCCCAGUAGUC
RNAcentral lists this ribosomal RNA (439 nucleotides) under uncultured bacterium. Its description in RNAcentral is "partial 16S ribosomal RNA". It matches the Rfam family "Bacterial small subunit ribosomal RNA", at positions 339 to 795 of the family's 1533-position model. The record is from RNAcentral.